AUUGAACGCUGGCGGCAGGCCUAACACAUGCAAGUCGAGCGGCAGCGGGUCCUUCGGGAUGCCGGCGAGCGGCGGACGGGUGAGUAAUGCCUAGGAAUCUGCCUGGUAGUGGGGGAUAACGUUCGGAAACGGACGCUAAUACCGCAUACGUCCUACGGGAGAAAGUGGGGGAUCUUCGGACCUUCCGCUAUCAGAUGAGACGAGGUCGGAUUAGCUAGUUGGUGGGGUAAUGGCUCACCAAGGCGACGAUCCGUAACUGGUCUGAGAGGAUGAUCAGUCACACUGGAACUGAGACACGGUCCAGACUCCUACGGGAGGCAGCAGUGGGGAAUAUUGGACAAUGGGCGAAAGCCUGAUCCAGCCAUGCCGCGUGUGUGAAGAAGGUCUUCGGAUUGUAAAGCACUUUAAGUUGGGAGGAAGGGCAGUCAGUUAAUACCUGGUUGUUUUGACGUUACCAACAGAAUAAGCACCGGCUAACUUCGUGCCAGCAGCCGCAGUAA
This 500-nucleotide ribosomal RNA is filed under the name uncultured bacterium. RNAcentral's name for it is "partial 16S ribosomal RNA". It matches the Rfam family "Bacterial small subunit ribosomal RNA", at positions 30 to 523 of the family's 1533-position model. The record is from RNAcentral.